RNAcentral lists this ribosomal RNA (1358 nucleotides) under uncultured bacterium. RNAcentral's name for it is "bacterial SSU rRNA". It matches the Rfam family "Bacterial small subunit ribosomal RNA", at positions 28 to 1381 of the family's 1533-position model. The record is from RNAcentral.
GAUGAACUCUAGCUACAGGCUUAACACAUGCAAGUCGAGGGGCAGCAUGGUCUUAGCUUGCUAAGGCCGAUGGCGACCGGCGCACGGGUGAGUAACACGUAUCCAACCUGCCGUCUACUCUUGGACAGCCUUCUGAAAGGAAGAUUAAUACAAGAUGGCAUCAUGAGUCCGCAUGUUCACAUGAUUAAAGGUAUUCCGGUAGACGAUGGGGAUGCGUUCCAUUAGAUAGUAGGCGGGGUAACGGCCCACCUAGUCUUCGAUGGAUAGGGGUUCUGAGAGGAAGGUCCCCCACAUUGGAACUGAGACACGGUCCAAACUCCUACGGGAGGCAGCAGUGAGGAAUAUUGGUCAAUGGGCGAGAGCCUGAACCAGCCAAGUAGCGUGAAGGAUGACUGCCCUAUGGGUUGUAAACUUCUUUUAUAAAGGAAUAAAGUCGGGUAUGGAUACCCGUUUGCAUGUACUUUAUGAAUAAGGAUCGGCUAACUCCGUGCCAGCAGCCGCGGUAAUACGGAGGAUCCGAGCGUUAUCCGGAUUUAUUGGGUUUAAAGGGAGCGUAGAUGGAUGUUUAAGUCAGUUGUGAAAGUUUGCGGCUCAACCGUAAAAUUGCAGUUGAUACUGGAUAUCUUGAGUGCAGUUGAGGCAGGCGGAAUUCGUGGUGUAGCGGUGAAAUGCUUAGAUAUCACGAAGAACUCCGAUUGCGAAGGCAGCCUGCUAAGCUGCAACUGACAUUGAGGCUCGAAAGUGUGGGUAUCAAACAGGAUUAGAUACCCUGGUAGUCCACACGGUAAACGAUGAAUACUCGCUGUUUGCGAUAUACAGCAAGCGGCCAAGCGAAAGCGUUAAGUAUUCCACCUGGGGAGUACGCCGGCAACGGUGAAACUCAAAGGAAUUGACGGGGGCCCGCACAAGCGGAGGAACAUGUGGUUUAAUUCGAUGAUACGCGAGGAACCUUACCCGGGCUUAAAUUGCAGAUGAAUUACGGUGAAAGCCGUAAGCCGCAAGGCAUCUGUGAAGGUGCUGCAUGGUUGUCGUCAGCUCGUGCCGUGAGGUGUCGGCUUAAGUGCCAUAACGAGCGCAACCCUUGUUGUCAGUUACUAACAGGUUCCGCUGAGGACCCUGACAAGACUGCCAUCGUAAGAUGUGAGGAAGGUGGGGAUGACGUCAAAUCAGCACGGCCCUUACGUCCGGGGCUACACACGUGUUACAAUGGGGGGUACAGAGGGCCGCUACCACGCGAGUGGAUGCCAAUCCCAAAAACCUCUCUCAGUUCGGACUGGAGUCUGCAACCCGACUCCACGAAGCUGGAUUCGCUAGUAAUCGCGCAUCAGCCACGGCGCGGUGAAUACGUUCCCGGGCCU